Molecule: RNA transcript, 1197 nt
Organism: Rosa rugosa (rugosa rose)
Lineage: Eukaryota; Viridiplantae; Streptophyta; Magnoliopsida; Rosales; Rosaceae
Exons: 4
Source: RefSeq, a predicted model, not a curated record
UUCCAAGUCCAGAUUCGAAUCGGAAUCCCUCACGCUUCAUCAAGCUCCUGAAAUCUUGAAAACCCUUCCUUCUUCACUCUCACACUGACCGAGUAUGGGAGACCGAGAAAGAGAGCGAGACAGAGAACGAGACCGGGAGAGAAUCCGAGACCGGGACCGAGACAGAGACAGACGCCGUGACAGAGACGACCGUGAUCGUGACCGCGACCGCGACCGUGUCCGGAGCAAGAGGUCACGUACGCCGGACCGCAGCAGAGCACGCCACACGCGCUCCCGCACGCGCUCGCCGGACUUGUACCACUCACGCUCCCUCUCCCGUUCCCGCACUCCAGAAGACCGCUCCCACCGCCGCCGCCACCACCACCGCAGCCCCUCCCCGGAGUCGCGGAAGCGUGCGCGGCGCGAGCCGACGGUGGAGGAGGAGAAGGACCGGCAGAAGGUGGUGUCGGAAUUCGUGGAGGGGAUUGCGAAGGAGCAGCAGAAGCAGAGCGGCGGUGGUGGAGAGGGCGGUGCGGACGAGGACGAGGUUGAGAUGAUGAAGAAGUUGGGGAUUCCGGUAGGGUUUGAUUCCACGAAAGGGAAGCCGGUGCCGGGGGCCGAUGUGAGUGGUGUUAGGGCCGUCACGAAGCGCCAGCCUAGACAGUACAUGAACCGCCGCGGCGGAUUUAACCGGCCGUUGCCUGCAGAGCGCAAUCGCUAGAAUACUGGAGUUUAUAAGCCGGAUUAGGCAGAAUGGGUCACUUAUGAUUUCACAGUUGCUUAUCUGGAGCAACUUAUUCCAAUAAGACUCCUCCUCUGUAGAGGUAUGGGGUUUGACCUUCUAUCGGUGGGUUGGGUGGGAGGUUCUUCUAAUGUUGGAACACCCUUGACGUACCCUUUCUUGUUCAUGAGGAAACGUAUGGUCAUGUCCUCAGUGACUUUGAUGUUGAAAGGCACCAGCAGGAGAACAAUCAAUGUGAAUGCGUGGCAUUUCACCCCUACAAAUCACGGGGAUUGGGUCGAUUUCCGAAGUGAUUUAUUAUUUCAUCUUGGAUCUGAAAGUCGAAAAGAAUGCUCAUAUUCUCCCAGGUUUGUAGAAGAUCUAUGCUUGGAGAAGUCCCAACUUGUGCAUUCAACAAGCUAUGGAGGCAUAACAGUUUUUUUUUUUUUUAGAGGCUUUUUUGCUUCUUGCAUUUUUGUUGAUCUUACAAUGCGAUU